CACCAAUCAAGCACCGCUUGGUAUUGGACGGCAAGGCCCCCUGCCCUACGAGGCGCGGGCCCGUCCCAAAGGCAUCGGCGAGGACAGCGACCCCCGGCGUGUUAGAAUGCCCUUCACCGGGAUACGCCGGGAGCACCGCUGGACUCUGCCGCGAAGUGACGGGGCCCUCCGGGACCCCCGACCUACACAUCAAA
RNAcentral lists this unclassified non-coding RNA (194 nucleotides) under uncultured Ascomycota. Its description in RNAcentral is "sequence contains ITS2". Lineage: Eukaryota; Fungi; Ascomycota. The record is from RNAcentral.